AAAUGUAAACUUUCAGGGAUCAUUCUAUAGUUUGUUACUAGGGAAAUUUCUCUAGAUGUGUAGAACACUGGAAACCAUGAGGAGGAGGCGCAGCAUUCUCUCCUGAGUGUGAAGCCGGCUCUUGGUGGUGUUUCACUGCAACUGUCAUUUGUCACUGAUGAUCAUUCUCUUCCUCUGGGAGAGGGAGAAGACACAGUUUGAGUGGU
Cercocebus atys (sooty mangabey) is the source of this 206-nucleotide small nucleolar RNA. Its record names the gene U3. It matches the Rfam family "Small nucleolar RNA U3". Rfam says of the family: Small nucleolar RNAs (snoRNAs) are involved in the processing and modification of rRNA in the nucleolus. There are two main classes of snoRNAs: the box C/D class, and the box H/ACA class. NCBI's taxonomy places the organism in Eukaryota, Metazoa, Chordata, Mammalia, Primates, Cercopithecidae. The record is from Ensembl.